This is a long non-coding RNA of Papaver somniferum (opium poppy), 2677 nucleotides long. RefSeq lists it as uncharacterized. The transcript has 3 exons. Lineage: Eukaryota; Viridiplantae; Streptophyta; Magnoliopsida; Ranunculales; Papaveraceae. The record is from RefSeq and is a predicted model, not a curated record.
UGUUUAUCGAUUUUUAAGUCCUUUCAGUCAAAGGGUUCUUCUUACAUUGCAAGAGAAGAAAAUUCCUCUUUCUAACAAAAACCCAAAUGGUAUGAUGUAUUCUAAAUGUUUGCGGUUUGAACUGAACUAAAACUGAAAUAAGGGUGUGUAAUGUACCAAUUGUUGAUUAUGUUUUUGGUGAUUAAUCCAAAUGGGUACCAGUAGUCAAAUUUUAUGGUAAAUAAAAUGGGUACCUGAUUCUGAUGUUAUUACUCAAAUUCUUUGAGAAGAAUUACCCAAAACCAUCUCUUGUUAUUCCGCCUCAAUACGCCUCACUGUAAUCUCUCUGAUGUUCAUUUAAUAGCUUAGUCUGUAUGUUUUGAUUAUGAAUUGUUGAUCAGCCCCAUUGUUACUUGAAAAUGGAAUUAUGAUUUUCGUGAUUCUCAUUGUAUGUAUCCUGCAUAUUCAGAACUAUUCAUUUGUCUUGAUCAGAAGAACUAUUCAUUUGUCAUGUAAGUCAUUUACAUGGACUAAAUUCUGGAAUCUGCCAUGAAGGAUUAAUGUAUGUUUGGUUGUUAUCUCAUUGUCAUGAACUUAUCAGAAACCUUCUUAGUCAGUUGUUGUGUCUUGGUUUAAGUUAGUGGAAGCAUCAAACUAAGCAGUUGUUUUCUAUAGCAAAUGCUGUUCACAUGUGCAUAUUGCCGAUGGAGAAUAUAAAAAUGCAAUUGAAAGUGGUAGUCGAAAUGAAUCACCUCAUUGUUCAGAAACUAUCCAUGCCAAACCUGAUGGUAAGUGAAUCACCUCAUUUUUCUUGUGGUCAAAGGAGUUCAGUAAAAAUAGUCAUUAUUCAGAAACUUGUUACCUGGAUCUGCAAGCUUUCUCAAAUGUUGGGAGAGUUCUAUUUAUCUUGUUAAUGUCCAUAAGCAUGAAAUUCACAAUGGGCAGCUGAGCUUUAGGGGAAACGUGUACUUGAGUUUCUCAACUAGGUGUCGUGUACUGUGGAAAUGAUCUACCUGUAUGUUGACUGUUACAGCACAAUUGCGGCUACGGACUAUCGGGGAUCUUAGCUUCCUUAAAGGGAGUUUCAGAGGUGCGUUUUCAGGAUCCGAAUGCGGAAACAGUAAGAUGUUCAACCAUACAUGAGUGUGCUUGCAAUCUCAUCCUUUAUUUUCUUGCAAAUCUAAUUACAGGCUACCAUAAUCUAAUUUCAAUGGGCUUGAUGUACACUGUAGUGAUUUAUUUUGUAUAUACUUGGGGGUUGAAUUUAUCAAUCAGGCACCAGUUUCUGUGAUAACUAACAUUAUUUAUGUUUCCAUUCCGUCAUUAACUACACCCAACCUAAUUGUUGCUACUUUUCCACCUCCGUGGGAAGGACAGUGAGCCAGUUACCUUGCAGGCUACAACCAGGAUUCAGACCAAUGAUUCUGUUGUUGAGUAGGAUUUUGACAUCUUGAGUUUGCACUUAAAGUGUGGUUAGUCGCACACUUAAUGCCUACUUCCACAGCUGCAUCAAUUUUCCAUUUGUUUUAUUCUGAUCCAGUUAGAUCUCAAGGUGCAUCUUUUCAGUCUGAUGAUAACAAUGGCAUUGAAAUAUAUUUAAGCUUUAUUCAGUACCCAACACUAGCUCAGUUGCAUUAACUCCGUAAACAGUCAUUACUACUAAUAGUCUAAAAUGGUUAUUGAUGUCUCAUUCUUUGUUUCUCACUAGCAUUUUUAAUUUCCCCAUACUUGGCAUCUUGAGAGAUCCUAGUGAAUAUUGCUCAGUUAAUGCUUUGCUCGUUUUUUGUCAACUGACAGCUCUCAUGUGAAAUAUCUUUUGUAGCUCUCCGAAGAGAUACAGAACAACAGCUUUUCACUAUUUUAGAACCUUAGGUCAUCAAUGGCUUGCAUAUAAAACCUCUGGUACAUCUGGUAAAGUAUCCUUAACUCACAGUGUCAUCAGCUGGACAUGCUUUGCUUGCUUUCAUACAUGGUCAGCUUCCAGGGGAAAAAGCUUUUGAAGCUGUCGGAGGAGAUACCCAAUAAUAGCCUUUCCCUGUUUUAAACCCAUAAGUCAUUUUGGCAUAUAUAGCCUCUGGUGCUUCUGGUCACUGUAGUAAUACUGUCAUUUCUUGAUGUUGUCAAAGAAUAAUAGGGUCUCUAGGGAUGAAGAUUCUGAUGUUGACUAUUUCCUAAGAAGUGAAGCAAGUCUGUGUUUGAUAAUCUCCCUGCUAGGAUUCAAUUGGCUUUACAUGAUCUAAAUCAAGUUCAAAUUGAGUUUGACAAUGACCCAUCUUAUUUUUCUAGAAAAAAUUCUAGUGUUUUAUGUUUUAACUGCUAUGACCAAGACAAUGCAGCUGGUAUACAGGUCAAUGUAACCUUUCCCAGCAACUCCAACCAUGAUAUGUAAAAAUGUACAAAACCAGUAGUAACUCUACCGUGUACAUUGUUUCUUCCUAUGCCGGUAAAAGAGAGAUGUCCAGUAGCGGAUCGGUAAUGAAGCAACUCCAACAAUGCUGAAUUCCCUCAUCUACAAACUCCCAUAGUACAGAUUAAGGACGACCGGAAUCAGUAAAAAAGAUUUUAAGCUUACACACCACUGGAUGGUAGUGUAGGGGAUUACAAACCAAAACCUCCAAGGAACAGGUCCAAGGAAAGACGGAUUUUUUUUCCUUUGACAUAAAAGCGGUGAAAGCCCAAUUCAUGAUAAAAGCGGUGA